This 500-nucleotide ribosomal RNA is filed under the name uncultured bacterium. RNAcentral's name for it is "partial 16S ribosomal RNA". It matches the Rfam family "Bacterial small subunit ribosomal RNA", at positions 28 to 523 of the family's 1533-position model. The record is from RNAcentral.
GAUGAACGCUAGCGGCAGGCUUAAUACAUGCAAGUCGAGGGACAGCACAGGUAGCAAUACUGGGUGGUAACCGGCAAACGGGUGCGGAACACGUACACAACCUUCCUUUAAGUGGGGGAUAGCCCAGAGAAAUUUGGGUUAAUACCCCGUAAUAUAGUUGAAUGGCAUCAUUUGAUUAUUAUAGCUAAGGCGCUUAAUGAUGGGUGUGCAGCUGAUUAGAUAGUUGGCGGGGUAACGGCCCACCAAAUCUACGAUCAGGAGCUGAUGUGAGAGCAUGAUCAGCCACACGGGCACUGAGACACGGGCCCGACUCCUACGGGAGGCAGCAGUAAGGAAUAUUGGUCAAUGGACGCAAGUCUGAACCAGCCAUGCCGCGUGAAGGAUUAAGGUCCUCUGGAUUGUAAACUUCUUUUAUUUGGGACGAAAAAGGGCCUUUCUAGGUCAACUGACGGUACCAGAUGAAUAAGCACCGGCUAACUCCGUGCCAGCCGCCGCCGUAA